Portunus trituberculatus (swimming crab) is the source of this 6268-nucleotide long non-coding RNA. RefSeq lists it as uncharacterized. The transcript is spliced from 4 exons. NCBI's taxonomy places the organism in Eukaryota, Metazoa, Arthropoda, Malacostraca, Decapoda, Portunidae. The record is from RefSeq and is a predicted model, not a curated record.
UAAAAAGAGAUAUGAACUUGGAGGAGAGGUAAAAAGAGAAAGUGCUAAGAAAUGAAGCUAAGGAAAAAAAGCGAGAAAAGGAUGGAGAUCGAGAAAAAGGAUUUCUACUGGCGAGUUCCAGAUAUGAGACUAAAGAAGUGACUGAUACUAAUAUAAAUGAGUUGUUCUCCAACAUAUUGGAAGUUAGGGAUUAUUUGAAAGAGAAAAAGCCAGAUGUAAUGUGCAUCGCUGAAACAAAACUAAAAGCGGAGAUCCAUGUUAACUUUAUAGAGGAGAGAUAUAAUAGCUGGAAAAGAGACAGGAAGGGUAAAAGGGGAGGAGUGCUGUUGUGAUCUGUUCUUGGGGCGCUUUUAUUAUCCCUUUUACCUUAUGAUUUAGUUACUUAGUCUCUUCUCAUGGAGAGGUUCUAGGUGGGUAUAUGCAUAUGGUUGAUAAAACCAAUAUAACUUUCUUAGAUUUAUUAAUAUGUAUACUUUUUUAGUAUUUCUUUGUCACUGAUGUUUAACGGCAAAUUCGUAUCACAUGGUUAACCAACCUUACCCUGUCUUAUGACGAGAUUUUACUUUUCUAUAAUAAAGUACUGGUACUGAUUGUUUCCUAAUUAAUUCCUAACCAAUCCUAAUAUAAAUAAUAUCUAAACACUAAAAGUACGCACAGAAAUUAAUAAUAUGAGUUACUAAAAUAAACCAACUCCCUUGCCUUGCUCUAAGCUUUACUCACAACCAACAGAGUGUUGGACAUCAUCUUCCUCUUUUGAUUCUUCUCUUGCUAUAGCCAUGCUUGCCUUUCCUUCUUUCUUCUCUCUUUUUUAUUCUAUUUUCUUCAUUCUUCUUUCUUCUUUGUUUUCUUUUCUUCUUUCUUCUUAACUCCUUUAUGCUUUGGGACCGUGGAGACGGAGAAGUGUCUGGAUUCUGCUGACGAAGGGCUUUCUAGAGGGCUUAGGUGAGCAGCAGGUUUUGGAGAUCCUUAUUCUAUGGUUUUAGGACCUGAACUGAUGAUCCACACAGCUUCUGUCGAUUCUGUAGCAGAGUUGUAAGGGGUGUAGCACGCUGUUGCCACGCAGGAUUACUCAUAUACUGCUCUGGGUCGUCCCUAUCUCCAGAAGUUAUGGGGCCGUGACUGAUAGCACAUCCCUCUCUCUCUCUGUUCUAUCGGUUUUCUGUAGAUCGUUGUUCUCCAAGUUUUGCAUAUUCUCUGUUGCUGUUGGUAACCUGUCACGCUUCCAGCAGUGCUGACAAUGGUUCAUGAUAAUAUAUUGUUGCUGUGACACAAAGUGAGUAGUGAAGAUAGCGUUAGCAUUUGCAAUGCUAUCCGGUUGGCAUCACUGCUUUGGCUUACAGAUGUGGUGUUGAGGGAUACCAGAUGUUCAUGACCGGAAGCAGGUGGAUAAGCCAACUGUGAUUGGCUCAUGGGUUAGCCAAUGGGAGUAGAGUAAGGGGGGAGGCAUAUAAAGCUGGCUACAGCUUGGCUUGCCCCUGUCAGUGGUCUUCUUCCCCCAACCCAGUUUAGUCUUCUCUUGCGCUUCUUCUCUUGACUUGCCCUCUUCUACCAGUUCGUACUCUGUGUGCCACCCUGUACUGUAUUACACACCAGUACACUAAAGGGGUUGUGCCAAGUGUUUCAUGUACCCUGCCUCUCUGAGUAAGUCUGCCCGAGUGCCUUGUACUCUCUCCCCUUGCUAGCCACGAAUCUUCGCCUAGAAGUAUCCCUGAGUCUGUUGCCGUCUUGUCCUGUGCUUUCCUGGGCUGCCGUUGUGGUUAAGUGUGUUCCUGUCAUGGUUGUGGAAGCUGUGAGGACGUGGGGGGCGGCAUAACAGUUGGUGUCAGGAGCUGUGGGAUAAAGUUUGGCUAGGGAGGUUGCCAGGUACGAAUGCACUAUGGUAGAUUCAGACAUGAGAGGCAGUGAAAGGCUGGAAGACAGUAAGCCAGGUUGGAAAAGGCUGAAAAACCUGUUCGCUGGGAUGAUGGUACGAAUGGACAAAAUGGCAAGUGAAAUGAAACAGGAAAUAAGUGAAAGUAAACAAGAAACGAGUGCAGUGGUUGUGCGAAUGGACAAAAUGGCACAGGAAAUGAGUGCAGUGGUGGGGCGAAUGAACUUGAUGCGAGAGGAGAUGCGAGCAGCAGUCGGGAAGCAAGACAGUUCACCUUGGAAUACAGCAAGAGGCUGCGGCAGGACCUGACAGAAGAGUUCAAGGAGGAACUGGUAGCAGUGAGACAACAGUGGUGGUAGUGGUAGUGGUAGUGGUGAGAGGACGCCCCUGAAUCCUCGCCCUCCAGGACGAGGCUUCAGGGGCGUCUUUUCACCACUACCAUCACCACCACUAGACUUUGAAGGAUGUGUUCAAAAUAAAAUAAUCUUUCACUGUACAUAUACAUUUUGCAUUAAACCCAUUUCUAUUAUGCUUAUUAAUGCUUUUAUUAAUAAACUUACAAAGACAUACAAAUGACUAUGAAAAAGGAAAAUGUUUAAACACAAAAUUAUUCCUCUAUUUUGCUACUUCCUCCUCUGAUGUGUCACCAUUGUUGUCAUCUGUCUCCGAUUCUGUUACUUGACUUGGUGUGUGUGGUCUGAAGAAGCUUGUAUAUUGAUUGCCGUGUCCCGCUGGCCAAGAGAGAAAAGAUGCAGCGCAUGGUAGAGAUGGCUGUGCAGGGGAUAGUGGAGCAUUCUGACAGCCCGUGGUUGUCGCCCGUAGUCCUGGUGAACAAGAAGGAUGGCACCAAGCGCUUCUGUGUAGAUUACAGGGCGCUGAAUAACGUCACGGUAUCUCCUAUCCCCUGCCCAGGAUAGACGACACCCAGGAUGCUCUGGUUGGUGUUCAGUGGUUGUCCACUUUUGAUCUUAAAUUGGGAUAUCACCAGGUGAUGUUAGCAAUGGCAGACAAGCAGAAGACAGCGUUCUCCUUUGGGCAGGGAUUGUGGCAAUUCCGGGUGAUGCUGUUCAGGUUGAGCAAUGCCCCUGGGUGCUUUGAGUGGCUGAUGGAGAAGGUGCUGGCAAAGUUGCAGUGGAAGGCAGCUUUAGUGUACCUGGACGAUGUUCUGGUGUUCGCAAGGAAGUUUGAGGAGGAGCUGCAACGUCUAAAGGUGGCACUGGGCCGUCUGCGGGAGGCAAACCUGAAACUGAACCCGAAGAAAUGCACCUUCUUCCAGCAUGAAAUGUCGUUCCUGGGGCAUGUUGUGGGGUGAGGCGGUGUGUGCACGGACCCUAACAAGGUGUUGGCAGUCCCGACGUCAGUGGUGAGCAUGAGAAGCUUCCUUAGCCUGUGCAGCUACUACCGCAGGUUUGUGGAAGGCUUUGCCACCCUUGCUGCUCCCCUGCAUCAGCUGACAAGGAAGAAUGUCCACUUCACCUGGGAUGAAUCUUACCAGGACGCGUUCAGUGGUCUGAAGGCGAUGAUGAUAAGUGCUCCAGUGCUGCCCUUUCCUGAUCCUGGCCUCCCCUUCAUCCUCGACACUGAUGCAGGCACAGAGGGCCUUGGAGCAGUGUUGUCUCAGGUAAAGGAAGAUAAUGAGUAUGUAUUGGCCUAUUACAACUCCAAGUUCAGCAAGCCUGAGCGGGAUUACUGCGUCACCAGGAAGGAGUUGCUGGCUAUUGUGAGGAAUUUGGCCCACUUCCACUAGUACCUUUAUGAAGCUGAGUUUGUCGCAAAAUUGCUCGUGCGACGUUCAGUCCAUUUUGUUAGCGGACCGAGCGUCAAGAGGGUGCAGGUAGUAAAGUUAAGCUGCCUGAGACUCCAGUGCACCACAAUUCCUACCAGGUGGUUGUAAUCCUUUAAUUACUCACACACCACAUGUUCGCUGCAUCUACACUCAUAGACAGCUAUUCUUUUUUCACCAUGUAACUUAUCAUGACACACACACACACACACACGCCCGGUAGCUCAGUGGUUAGAGCGCUGGCUUCACAAGCCAGAGGACCGAGGUUCGAUUCCCCGGCCGGGUGGAGAUAUUUGGGUGUGUGUCCUUUCACGUGUAGCCCCUGUUCACCUAGCAGUGAGUAGGUACGGGAUGUAAAUCGAGGAGUUGUGACCUUGUUGUCCCGGUGUGUGGUGUGUGCCUGGGCCGCGUUCCGUUGGCGUACAGUAUGGCAUACUUCCCCCGAAUCGGGGGGGACCAGCAUACGGCUCGCCUUGCGGAAGCGUGCGGGACCUUGCGCUCCUCGGAGGUGAAUGCUUGGCGGUGUCUGGCAACCUUUGUUUAUCAACAAACUGCAAAGAUGGCCGCCUCUUCACCACUAUGCUUUCAGUGUGGGGGCUGCCAACGCUAUUUUGAUAGCUUAUGCAGUGUUGCCAGAUUGGGCUACUAAUCGCAAAUUGGGCUACUUUCUGAUGUGCUGCGCUACUAAAUUUUGACGUCUGCGACUUGCGACUUUUUGGGCUACUUUGGAAUGUGGUUGGGUUAAUAUAUAUGCUUUCGUCAUAAAGUAGGUACACGUAUUUUCUCUCAAAGAUAUCACUUAGAUAUUUUUUUCAUCUAAUUAAAGAAUAAGUUUCCGAUGUUUGUAUAUACCUCUGGGCAAAGUCAUCGAAAUUAACCCGGUAGCAGCGACGAUCGCAAAACUGAGCGUCCCCUCCAAGCGGCAUUAAUUGGGAAAAAUGCCACCCUCGCAAAUCUCUCUAUAAUAUAUAUGAACGCAUUCUCCAUCAGUUUCUGCACCGUCUAAAAAUAUACAUUUCUCUCAUUGUACUAAAAUUUUUACUAAAUAAUGCAAAAUCAAUUUAAACGCGGUGGCAACUCUUACUCCUAGGAACUGUAAGCUCCCUCUCCAGCCCCAUGUCCCACGCAAGCAUGCCAUACAAGCUAGAUGUCACGCGUUUCUCGUAAAAGCAUCUGAAGAACUUCUUGCUCGUGUCCCACGUAACAUUGCAACCUUGAAACAGAUAAAAAAAAUCUAUCACCAGCAAUAUGUUUGAGCCACACAAGACCUCCAUUUUCUGAGCUUCCAUUAUCUCUGGCUGAACAAGCAAAACUCCCUGAGAUUGAAAACCAGUGGCGAACAGCCUUACAUACUGAUUGGCAUCAAAUAUUUGAAGGUGACAUACCUCAGGAUGGUUCAGUGUUCUGGUCCAAAUCUGCUACAUUAAAAAAUGCAGGUGGAGAACUCAUUAUGAAAGACCUGGCAGAAUUUGCUCUGAAAGUGUAUAGCCUUCCUAUUAGUAAUGCCUUAGUAGAGCGCGUAUUUUCAAAAGUAACUGCAGUUAAAACUAAAGUGAGAAAUCGUAUGGGUUUAGGACUCUUAACUUCCAUUCUACGAAUCAAAACCUCCCUGAAAGAAAAAGGCAUGUGCUGCAAUACAUUUGAGCCUCCAGUGUCCAUGCUGCAUUAUGAUUCAUCUAUAUAUAAGGAUGAAAAAAUAGAGGAGGACGAGGAAAACCUGCUACAAUCAUUGCAGCUGAUCUAAGAAAAUCUCUGGCCUCCUGCUUUUGGGAACCUUUCUGCUACUUUUGAUGAGUCUCAUCUGGCAACACUGAGCUUAUGCGAUGUCACAGAACAUCAAAAACAAUGCGACGCUCGGGCACCUACCGCCAUGGUAGCUGCUGCUACAGAGGCCCCUCCAGCACCUGUGGCUGAGGGAACAGGCCCGGGCCCUGCCACCAUGGGAGGUAAAGGUUUCUUCUGGCCUAUAAAUGCUGUCCUCCUCCUUAUUGCCACAGUGGGAGAUUUGAAGCAAGAAUUUGCAAAGGGGACCAGAAAGAAGGUGGAGGUGUGGAGGGACGUGGCUCUGAGGAUGCGCCAAGAAGGCUAUCCAGUGAAUGGAGAACUCUGCGAUAAGAAAAUUCGCUCCCUAAAGCAAAGGUAGGUGAAAAUUUACUUUAGCACAAUGUUUCUUAACCUCUUAUGAUCUCAGCACCCCUUUUGGUCAGGCCUAAGCAGUUCAGCACCCUGUACUGAGGGAGUGUGGGCGUCUUGCCGUCUGGUGACAGACAUUAGCACACAACCGAACGUGCACAUUAGUAAUAUACAAAGCUUAUGAUGCUGAUUUAAUAUUAAAGUGUGGAACGCUCGUACAAAUCAAGUGUUUCUUUAAUCAUUAAGGUACAACAAACAAUAAAAUCAGAUUAAAGUUUACCCAUAUUGUAUUUCCAAAUAUGUGAUAAAAAUACGUUUGUCCAGACGUAUUCCUUUUACCUUUUACUGCCACUUAUGUGAUCUUCCCCAACACCCCCUUAAAUUUAUUUCUGCACCCCAGGUUAAGAAACACUGCUUUAGUGGCUUAAAAGUUACUGUGUGUAUUAGUAUGUUGAUUCCACUGUGAUAAACUGGGCAGGUAA